ACCCGCACAAGCGGUGGAUGAUGUGGUUUAAUUCGAUGCAACGCGAAAAACCUUUACCCACCUUUGACAUGUCCGGAAUCCUGCAGAGAUGCGGGAGUGCCCGAAAGGGAAUCGGAACACAGGUGCUGCAUGGCUGUCGUCAGCUCGUGUCGUGAGAUGUUGGGUUAAGUCCCGCAACGAGCGCAACCCUUAUCAUUAGUUGCUACGCAAGGGCACUCUAAUGAGACUGCCGGUGACAAACCGGAGGAAGUGGGGAUGACGUCAAGUCCUCAUGGCCCUUAUGGGUAGGGCUUCACACGUCAUACAAUGGUCGGUACAGAGGGUUGCCAAGCCGCGAGGUGGAGCCAAUCCCAGAAAGCCGAUCGUAGUCCGGAUUGUUCUCUGCAACUCGAGAGCAUGAAGUCGGAAUCGCUAGUAAUCGCGGAUCAGCAUGUCGCGGUGAAUACGUUCCCGGGUCUU
Molecule: ribosomal RNA, 459 nt
Filed under: uncultured Thiobacillus sp.
Lineage: Bacteria; Pseudomonadati; Pseudomonadota; Betaproteobacteria; Nitrosomonadales; Thiobacillaceae
Description: bacterial SSU rRNA
Rfam family: Bacterial small subunit ribosomal RNA
Source: RNAcentral